CCAGAUUAAGUUAAUGAUGCAGUACUAAACUCACUCAGGCUAGAAUGGCUCGCCCAAGCUAAAAUAGUACUGAUAUAUCUUGCCUAAGCUAGAUUGGCUCGCUUGAGUUGGAUUUCAUUAAAUCAAUUUUGGAACAGAGUUAAAACAUAAGAAGUUGGACAAAAUUAGGGGGAUUACGAAGGUUACUGGGAAAAAACAAGAAAACUUUGUUCUUACGAGAAGAAUUUGCCCUUCUUAUGCAAUUCAAAUAAGGAAUGAAGAUUGGAGAAGCUAUCAUG
This 278-nucleotide long non-coding RNA is filed under the name Phaseolus vulgaris (common bean). RNAcentral describes it as "long non-coding RNA (PVUL_LNC004378)". The record is from RNAcentral. Lineage: Eukaryota; Viridiplantae; Streptophyta; Magnoliopsida; Fabales; Fabaceae.